GGUUAAGCGACUAAGCGUACACGGUGGAUGCCCUGGCAGUCAGAGGCGAUGAAGGACGUGCUAAUCUGCGAAAAGCGUCGGUAAGGUGAUAUGAACCGUUAUAGCCGGCGAUGUCCGAAUGGGGAAACCCAGUGCAAUUCGUUGCACUAUCGUUAACUGAAUACAUAGGUUAACGAGGCGAACCGGGGGAACUGAAACAUCUAAGUACCCCGAGGAAAAGAAAUCAACCGAGAUUAGUAGCGGCGAGCGAACGGGGAGCAGCCCAGAGUCUGAAUCAGCUUGUGUGUUAGUGGAACGGUCUGGAAAGUCCGACGGUACAGGGUGAUAGUCCCGUACACCAAAAUGCACAGGCUGUGAACUCGAAGAGUAGGGCGGGACACGUGGUAUCCUGUCUGAAUAUGGGGGGACCAUCCUCCAAGGCUAAAUACUCCUGACUGACCGAUAGUGAACCAGUACCGUGAGGGAAAGGCGAAAAGAACCCCGGCGAGGGGAGUGAAAAAGAACCUGAAACCGUGUACGUACAAGCAGUGGGAGCACCUUCGGGUGUGACUGCGUACCUUUUGUAUAAUGGGUCAGCGACUUAUAUUCUGUAGCAAGGUUAACCGUAUAGGGGAGCCGCAGGGAAACCGAGUCUUAACUGGGCGUUAAGUUGCAGGGUAUAGACCCGAAACCCGGUGAUCUAGCCAUGGGCAGGUUGAAGGUUGGGUAACACUAACUGGAGGACCGAACCGACUAAUGUUGAAAAAUUAGCGGAUGACUUGUGGCUGGGGGUGAAAGGCCAAUCAAACCGGGAGAUAGCUGGUUCUCCCCGAAAGCUAUUUAGGUAGCGCCUCGUGAACUCAUCUUCGGGGGUAGAGCACUGUUUCGGCUAGGGGGUCAUCCCGACUUACCAACCCGAUGCAAACUACGAAUACCGAAGAAUGUUAUCACGGGAGACACACGGCGGGUGCUAACGUCCGUCGUGAAGAGGGAAACAACCCAGACCGCCAGCUAAGGUCCCAAAGUCAUGGUUAAGUGGGAAACGAUGUGGGAAGGCACAGACAGCCAGGAUGUUGGCUUAGAAGCAGCCAUCAUUUAAAGAAAGCGUAAUAGCUCACUGGUCGAGUCGGCCUGCGCGGAAGAUGUAACGGGGCUAAACCAUGCACCGAAGCUGCGGCAGCGACACUAUGUGUUGUUGGGUAGGGGAGCGUUCUGUAAGCCUGCGAAGGUGACCUGUGAGGGUUGCUGGAGGUAUCAGAAGUGCGAAUGCUGACAUAAGUAACGAUAAAGCGGGUGAAAAGCCCGCUCGCCGGAAGACCAAGGGUUCCUGUCCAACGUUAAUCGGGGCAGGGUGAGUCGACCCCUAAGGCGAGGCCGAAAGGCGUAGUCGAUGGGAAACAGGUUAAUAUUCCUGUACUUGGUGUUACUGCGAAGGGGGGACGGAGAAGGCUAUGUUAGCCGGGCGACGGUUGUCCCGGUUUAAGCAUGUAGGCUGGUUGUCCAGGCAAAUCCGGAUAAUCAAGGCUGAGGUGUGAUGACGAGGCACUACGGUGCUGAAGUAACAAAUGCCCUGCUUCCAGGAAAAGCCUCUAAGCAUCAGGUAACAUUAAAUCGUACCCCAAACCGACACAGGUGGUCAGGUAGAGAAUACCAAGGCGCUUGAGAGAACUCGGGUGAAGGAACUAGGCAAAAUGGUGCCGUAACUUCGGGAGAAGGCACGCUGGUGUGUAGGUGAAGUCCCUGCGGAUGGAGCUGAGACCAGUCGAAGAUACCAGCUGGCUGCAACUGUUUAUUAAAAACACAGCACUGUGCAAACACGAAAGUGGACGUAUACGGUGUGACGCCUGCCCGGUGCCGGAAGGUUAAUUGAUGGGGUUAUCCGUAAGGAGAAGCUCUUGAUCGAAGCCCCGGUAAACGGCGGCCGUAACUAUAACGGUCCUAAGGUAGCGAAAUUCCUUGUCGGGUAAGUUCCGACCUGCACGAAUGGCGUAAUGAUGGCCAGGCUGUCUCCACCCGAGACUCAGUGAAAUUGAACUCGCUGUGAAGAUGCAGUGUACCCGCGGCAAGACGGAAAGACCCCGUGAACCUUUACUAUAGCUUGACACUGAACAUUGAGCCUUGAUGUGUAGGAUAGGUGGGAGGCUUUGAAGCGUGGACGCCAGUCUGCGUGGAGCCAACCUUGAAAUACCACCCUUUAAUGUUUGAUGUUCUAACGUUGGCCCCUUACCGGGGUUGCGGACAGUGUCUGGUGGGUAGUUUGACUGGGGCGGUCUCCUCCCAAAGCGUAACGGAGGAGCACGAAGGUUAGCUAAUCCUGGUCGGACAUCAGGAGGUUAGUGCAAUGGCAUAAGCUAGCUUGACUGCGAGCGUGACGGCGCGAGCAGGUGCGAAAGCAGGUCAUAGUGAUCCGGUGGUUCUGAAUGGAAGGGCCAUCGCUCAACGGAUAAAAGGUACUCCGGGGAUAACAGGCUGAUACCGCCCAAGAGUUCAUAUCGACGGCGGUGUUUGGCACCUCGAUGUCGGCUCAUCACAUCCUGGGGCUGAAGUAGGUCCCAAGGGUAUGGCUGUUCGCCAUUUAAAGUGGUACGCGAGCUGGGUUUAGAACGUCGUGAGACAGUUCGGUCCCUAUCUGCCGUGGGCGCUGGAGAAUUGAGGGGGGCUGCUCCUAGUACGAGAGGACCGGAGUGGACGCAUCACUGGUGUUCGGGUUGUCAUGCCAAUGGCACUGCCCGGUAGCUAAAUGCGGAAGAGAUAAGUGCUGAAAGCAUCUAAGCACGAAACUUGCCCCGAGAUGAGUUCUCCCUGAGACUUUAAGUCUCCUGAAGGAACGUUAAAGACGAUGACGUUGAUAGGCCGGGUGUGUAAGCGCAGCGAUGCGUUGAGCUAACCGGUACUAAUGAACCGUGAGGCUUAACCUU
RNAcentral lists this ribosomal RNA (2897 nucleotides) under Klebsiella pneumoniae. RNAcentral's name for it is "23S ribosomal RNA". It matches the Rfam family "Bacterial large subunit ribosomal RNA". The record is from RNAcentral. Lineage: Bacteria; Pseudomonadati; Pseudomonadota; Gammaproteobacteria; Enterobacterales; Enterobacteriaceae.